UUUGGAAUAAAACAUCAUUUUCUCUUUUUUUCCCAAAAUGUGAGGCACUGAGUUCGCUGAGAGAGAAUGAAACCCUAAGUUUUCUACAUACGCCAUUCUUGCCGCCGUUCUCGCUGCCGUUUCCGCUGCCGGCACCGUUACCACUUCGGCUGUGUCCGUUGCAGUAGAGAGCUUCUAGAUCGAGCCACAUCUUCUAUCAAUGUGUUUUCAGAUCUGUUCUCUCUAUCUGUCAUUGCUGCCACUGUUGCCAUCGCAGUUUGCACCGCCGUUGCUGCCACAGUUUCUACCGUCGAUGACACCGUAGUUGCCGUAGUACAACGCAUUUGCAGAUCUGUUCACUCCCGAGCUUCUUCUUCAAUGCUGCUUUCUCUCACUCCAAUUUCCCCUUUAAACUGCCGGUGGAAUUAGUUCCCAGCAUCAAUAAGGUUAGUGGUUUUAAUUUCUAUUCAUUUGUAUUCCAACUCUUACCAUCAUUUUCAACCUUAAAGACCCAGUUUUGCACUCUGGAAAGCAUCAUGACUUUUUAAAUCUAUAAAGUAUCAGUCUUUUACUUGGAGUAUUUGAUUGGGAUGAAUUACUACACUACAAUGCGGCAAUGCAAGCGUGGAAGAAGAGAAUAAUAUCGUUCAUGUUGCCUUCCGAUCUGAACACAUGUCUUGGAUGGAAGACAGUCAGACUCACAAUCUAAGAAAAGAAACCUUGUAGCAACAAUAUCAAUCGGUGAAGAAAUGGACUUCUAAUUAUAACAACUAUGCGAUUGGUUCUCAUGUGAUGGAUAGUAUGGUGAUACCAAAAUCAAAGCUGACAAGCUCUCUCUCUUUGAAGGCUUCGAUCCUACAUCCACCAAUUGACAUUUUAGCUUUAUGUUGCUUUUGAUGCAGGUCACAAUUGCUCCCAGAGCUGGUAGGGAAUUGGGUUAUGUGCGGGUGAAGAUAGAUCCUAUCAAAUUUAACGAAGGAAUGCUCACAUAUGGAUUCUUUGCUUAGAUCAAUUAAACUGCAUUACAUUGCACUUUUACAGAAUUGUGUUUAGAGCCUUUCAUUGUUUCUCUAAUUUGUAACUACUAAUGUCAUGCAGUCGACAAUUUGUCCUAGAUCAUAUUACCGUUCAACUAGCUCCCCGUGCAGCGGAUGAAAUUUGGUUUGGGAGUGGUCAAGUAAGAUAAAAUUCCCACUUGCUUUCCUUAAGUUUCCUCACUCCUUUUUAUUUUCUUCAUUGGUUCUUUUUGGUUGCUGUUUUAACUUGUUUUACAAUAUUUUGUUGAGUACGAUAUGGGCCAAAACUGCAGACAAAGCGAGGUCCGUAGCAAGGAUAUUUGUUCUUGGUGGGCUUUCAGAGAAGCACCAUGGAAUUACCAAUUUCUGGGUGGUAGACCGAAUAAACAUAUGGAUUCUCUCUCUCAACAUUUCUUUCAUCUGGUGUACUUGCAUGGCUCCAUAAAACCAAUACCUCCAAGCAUUCUUGACCUUAGAGCUGCCAAGCACAGAGAAUUCCAACAACUUCGUAAUGAUGAAAACCAGACAGCUUUGAAGAGCAACUCUUAAGAAAUGCCACAACCAGUUUUGAGACUAGUUUACUUUAUAGUCAUAUUUAUUGUACCUUAUUCCUGUAGCAUACUGAAAUCUGUGUUGAUUUCCAUUUGAUUUCCUAUUGAAAAUUUUUUAAUUGGACUAUAGGAUUUGCUUUUGGAGAUUUAAUUGGGAAAUGUCAGUGCCAAGUGCCAACAAAUACUCUGUAUGCAGAAUAAGAAAUCACCAAGUCCUACAAUGUUUACAGUCAACAUGGGGCAAAGAUAAAUUCAAGUUCUAGUAAGACUCUGGAGAUGUAAACCAUUCAACUCUGCCACCUUGAUGAAUUUGUCACCAUGACAAAGUCAACUUUCGAAUGACAGAAUCUAGAGUUCCAUUAUAUGUGGCAACAAAGAUGACAUCAAUUAGAAGAUCUUCAUUCUUCGUCCCGUCAACUGAUGGAUAUGCCAAAGCUGGUAUGAGAUGGAUAGGCUAUGAACUUCGCUGCAGGCCAUAUAUAGUGUAAAAUUUUGAUUUAUUAUUUUUAAUUUGUAUUUAAAUAGAUUUAAUCAUUUAACUUUUUAUGAGUUUUGAAUGCAUGUUCAGAAUUAAAUUAACUUUGAUUUAUAUUCAUUUCCAUUUGAAAUC
Non-coding RNA from Arachis ipaensis, 2156 nucleotides. The record is from RefSeq and is a predicted model, not a curated record. NCBI's taxonomy places the organism in Eukaryota, Viridiplantae, Streptophyta, Magnoliopsida, Fabales, Fabaceae.